Molecule: ribosomal RNA, 561 nt
Filed under: Listeria monocytogenes
Lineage: Bacteria; Bacillati; Bacillota; Bacilli; Caryophanales; Listeriaceae
Description: bacterial LSU rRNA
Rfam family: Bacterial large subunit ribosomal RNA
Source: RNAcentral
AGUAAAUUGGUUAAGUUAGAAAGGGCGCACGGUGGAUGCCUUGGCACUAGGAGCCGAAGAAGGACGGGACUAACACCGAUAUGCUUUGGGGAGCUGUACGUAAGCGUUGAUCCAGAGAUUUCCGAAUGGGGGAACCCACUAUCUUUAGUCGGAUAGUAUCCUUACGUGAAUACAUAGCGUGAGGAAGGCAGACCCAGGGAACUGAAACAUCUAAGUACCUGGAGGAAGAGAAAGAAAAAUCGAUUUCCUGAGUAGCGGCGAGCGAAACGGAAAGAGCCCAAACCAAGAAGCUUGCUUCUUGGGGUUGUAGGACACUCUAUACGGAGUUACAAAAGAAAGUUAUAAAUGAAGCGGUCUGGAAAGGCCCGCCAAAGACGGUAACAGCCCGGUAGUUGAAAUGGCUUUCCCUCCAGAGUGGAUCCUGAGUACGGCGGAACACGUGAAAUUCCGUCGGAAUCCGGGAGGACCAUCUCCCAAGGCUAAAUACUCCCUAGUGACCGAUAGUGAACCAGUACCGUGAGGGAAAGGUGAAAAGCACCCCGGAAGGGGAGUGAAACAGUU